GAUGAACGCUGGCGGCGUGCCUAAUACAUGCCAGUCGAGCGAACGGACGAGAAGCUUGCUUCUCUGAUGUUAGCGGCGGACGGGUGAGUAACACGUGGAUAACCUACCUAUAAGACUGGGAUAACUUCGGGAAACCGUAGCUAAUACCGGAUAAUAUUUUGAACCGCAUGGUUCAAAAGUGAAAGACGGUUUUGCUGUCACUUAUAGAUGGAUCCGCGCUGCAUUAGCUAGUUGGUAAGGUAACGGCUUACCAAGGCAACGAUGCAUAGCCGACCUGAGAGGGUGCUCGGCAAAACGGGAACUGACACGCGGUCCAGCCCCCUAAGGGGGGCAGCAGUAGGGAAUUUUCCGCAAGGGGGGAAAGCCUGACGGAGCAACGCCGCGGGAGUGAUGAAGGUCUUCGGAUCGUAAAACUCUUUUAUUAGGGAAAAACAUAUGUGUAAGUAACUGUGCACAUCUUGACGGUACCAAAUAAGAAAGCCCCGGCUAACUACGU
RNAcentral lists this ribosomal RNA (496 nucleotides) under uncultured bacterium. Its description in RNAcentral is "partial 16S ribosomal RNA". It matches the Rfam family "Bacterial small subunit ribosomal RNA", at positions 28 to 506 of the family's 1533-position model. The record is from RNAcentral.